ACUCUGUCCUAAAGGAAGAUAAGGACGGUACUUGAGGAGGAAGCCCCGGCUAACUACGUGCCAGCAGCCGCGGUAAUACGUAGGGGGCUAGCGUUAUCCGGAUUGACUGGGCGUAAAGGGUGCGUAGGCGGUCUUUCAAGUCAGGAGUGAAAGGCUACGGCUCAACCGUAGUAAGCUCUUGAAACUGGGAGACUUGAGUGCAGGAGAGGAGAGUGGAAUUCCUAGUGU
Molecule: ribosomal RNA, 228 nt
Filed under: Clostridioides difficile
Lineage: Bacteria; Bacillati; Bacillota; Clostridia; Peptostreptococcales; Peptostreptococcaceae
Description: partial 16S ribosomal RNA
Rfam family: Bacterial small subunit ribosomal RNA
Source: RNAcentral